GGGUAUUUAGCUCAGUGGUAUAAGCACCUGCCUUGCAAGCAGGCGGUUGUGAGUUGGAUCCCCAGUACCGA
Molecule: transfer RNA, 71 nt
Organism: Cavia porcellus (domestic guinea pig)
Lineage: Eukaryota; Metazoa; Chordata; Mammalia; Rodentia; Caviidae
Rfam family: tRNA
About the family: Transfer RNA (tRNA) molecules are approximately 80 nucleotides in length. Their secondary structure includes four short double-helical elements and three loops (D, anti-codon, and T loops).
Source: Rfam